This 710-nucleotide ribosomal RNA is filed under the name uncultured Sphingobacteriia bacterium. Its description in RNAcentral is "bacterial SSU rRNA". It matches the Rfam family "Bacterial small subunit ribosomal RNA", at positions 94 to 803 of the family's 1533-position model. The record is from RNAcentral. Lineage: Bacteria; Pseudomonadati; Bacteroidota; Sphingobacteriia.
ACCGGCGCACGGGUGCGUAACACGUAUAUAAUCUGCCUUUAACAGGGGGAUAGCCCGGAGAAAUCCGGAUUAAUACCCCAUAAUAUAUUUGCUGGCAUCAGUGAAUAUUAAAAGCUCCGGCGGUUAAAGAUGAAUAUGCGACUGAUUAGCUAGUUGGUAGUGUAACGGACUACCAAGGCGACGAUCAGUAGGGGAUCUGAGAGGAGUACCCCCCACACGGAUACUGAGACACGGAUCCGACUCCUACGGGAGGCAGCAGUAAGGAAUAUUGGACAAUGCCCGCAAGGGUGAUCCAGCCAUGCCGCGUGCAGGAAGACUGCCCUAUGGGUUGUAAACUGCUUUUGUACCGGAGAAAACCCCCGCACGUGUGCGGGGCUGAUAGUAUGGUAAGAAUAAGCAUCGGCUAACUUCGUGCCAGCAGCCGCGGUAAGACGAAGGAUGCAAGCGUUAUCCGGAUUCAUUGGGUUUAAAGGGAGCGUAGGUGGACUGAUAAGUCAGUGGUGAAAUCUCCGAGCUUAACUCGGAAAUUGCCAUUGAUACUGUUGGUCUUGAGUAUAGUUGCCGUUGGCGGAAUAUGACAUGUAGUGGUGAAAUACAUAGAGAUGUCAUAGAACACCGAUUGCGAAGGCAGCUGACGAAACUAUAACUGACACUGAGGCUCGAAAGUGUGGGGAUCAAACAGGAUUAGAUACCCUGGUAGUCCACACUGU